This 276-nucleotide ribosomal RNA is filed under the name Triticum aestivum (bread wheat). Its description in RNAcentral is "partial small subunit ribosomal RNA". The record is from RNAcentral. Lineage: Eukaryota; Viridiplantae; Streptophyta; Magnoliopsida; Poales; Poaceae.
AUGGAGGCUGAUGACUGGGAGGAGUUACAGUUGAAAGCAGCUGGGACUAUACGGUUGUGUCUGUCGGACCAGGUUAUUUAUCAUGUAAUGGAUGAGAAUUCGCCGCAGAAGAUCUGGGAGAAGCUGGAAAGUCAGUUUAUGUCCAAGACUGCGAUGACCAAGGUGUAUCUGAAGCAAAAGUUGUAUGGGAUGAGGAUGCAGGAGGGGUCAGAUCUUGUGGAGUAUAUGAACGCCUUUAAUCAAGUUGUGACUAGCAUGCUUGGGUGCGACGGUUGA